Molecule: long non-coding RNA, 167 nt
Organism: Bufo bufo (common toad)
Lineage: Eukaryota; Metazoa; Chordata; Amphibia; Anura; Bufonidae
Exons: 3
Source: RefSeq, a predicted model, not a curated record
GUGUAGGGAAAGGAUAGGGAGGCAUCAUCUACACUACAAAAGGAGAACAGGGUGCAAUAGGAGAGUGUACAGCCUGGGUAAUAGGAGCGAUUCUAUUACACCUUUCUGCACUAAUUGGUGAUCCAAAUUGGUGUUAUACUGCUGCAAGUAUAUAGUAGCUCAGUAAU